Long non-coding RNA from Xiphias gladius (swordfish), 718 nucleotides. RefSeq lists it as uncharacterized. NCBI's taxonomy places the organism in Eukaryota, Metazoa, Chordata, Actinopteri, Istiophoriformes, Xiphiidae. The transcript is spliced from 4 exons. The record is from RefSeq and is a predicted model, not a curated record.
UAGUUUACGUUAAUCAUUAGUGGCUUGUCAGUUGGCGAUAUCAGCAGCUAGUUAGCAUCCUUUUCUAAACAAGACGCUCAUUGAUUAAUUGCAUUUUAAGGCUUAUCUUUAUUUUUGUCAUUUGUAAGUGGGUCACAGGAUUGCCCCUAGAUAGCCUCAUUUAUAGCGUCUUCUUUUUGUUCCUCUUCUUCUGUUCUUCUGGCUUCGCCGCUUUAACAGAAGUGGCCUUGACGGGCUCUCCGCUGCUCUGGGUGACCGGGGAUCCUCGCUUUUUCCCGACGAGCAGACCGCCACAGACGGCGGCCCAGGACAGACCGAGCAGCAGCAGCAGACCCACCGCGGCCGUGGACAGGAUGAGCCACGUCGGGUACAGCUCGGGCUUCAGACCCAAAUCCACCCCGAACUGAGCCCUGGCAUAUCCUUGACCAGAAGAAAGGAGCUCCUUCAAUCGGCUGGAAAGCAGUUCAGCUUUUUCCAGCGCCAAAUCGCGCAAGUCCCCAGCCAUCUUUCCAAAUUGCGAAAACACUAGGUACAACAAAGCUGCUGCAGCUGGAAAUGGAACAGAAAUGACCACAAAGUGUUGUAGACUUAUCCUGUGAUGAACAGGUAUACAAGCCACAAAACAUCUGUUACAACUGAGUGGCAUCCCCGUGACGGCUCUCUCACCAAGUUCUCGUUGACGAUACCAUCACUGGCAGCAAAGAAAGCAAGGACAUGG